RNAcentral lists this ribosomal RNA (497 nucleotides) under uncultured bacterium. RNAcentral describes it as "partial 16S ribosomal RNA". It matches the Rfam family "Bacterial small subunit ribosomal RNA", at positions 28 to 507 of the family's 1533-position model. The record is from RNAcentral.
GAUGAACGCUGGCGGCGUGCCUAAUACAUGCAAGUCGAGCGGACGGACGAGACGCUUGCUUCUCUGAUGUUAGCGGCGGACGUGUGAGUAACACGUGGAUAACCUACCUAUAAUACUGGGAUAACUUCGGGAAACCGUAGCUAAUACCGGAUAAUAUUUUGAACCGCAUGGUGCAAAAGUGAAAGACGGUCUUGCUGUCACUUAUAGAUGGAUCCGCGCUGCAUUAGCUAGUUGGUAAGGUAACGGCUUACCAAGGCAAGUAUGCAUAGCCGACCGGAGAGAGUGAUAGGCCACACUGGAACUGAGACAGCGUCCAGAGUCCUACGGGAGGCAGCAGUAGCGAAUCGUCCGCAAUGGGCGAAAGCCUGACGGAGCAACGCCGCGUGAGUGAUGAAGGCCUUCGGAGCGUAAUACUCUGUUAUUAGGGAAGAACAUAUGUGUAAGUAACUGUGCACAUCUUGACGGUACCUAAUCAGAAAGCCACGGCUAACUACGUG